RNAcentral lists this ribosomal RNA (255 nucleotides) under uncultured bacterium. Its description in RNAcentral is "partial 16S ribosomal RNA". It matches the Rfam family "Bacterial small subunit ribosomal RNA", at positions 524 to 776 of the family's 1533-position model. The record is from RNAcentral.
UACGUAGGAUCCGAGCGUUAUCCGGAGUGACUGGGCGUAAAGAGUUGCGUAGGCGGUUAGUUAAGUGAAUAGUGAAACCUGGUGGCUCAACCAUACAGACUAUUAUUCAAACUGGCUAACUCGAGAAUAGCAGAGGUAACUGGAAUUUCUUGUGUAGGAGUGAAAUCCGUAGAUAUAAGAAGGAACACCAAUGGCGUAGGCAGGUUACUGGGCUAUUUCUGACGCUAAGGCACGAAAGCGUGGGGAGCGAACCGG